RNAcentral lists this ribosomal RNA (160 nucleotides) under uncultured bacterium. Its description in RNAcentral is "partial 16S rRNA". It matches the Rfam family "Bacterial small subunit ribosomal RNA", at positions 355 to 507 of the family's 1533-position model. The record is from RNAcentral.
UAGGGAAUAUUGCGCAAUGGACGAAAGUCUGACGCAGCAACGCCGCGUGGAUGAUGAAGCAUUUCGGUGUGUAAAAUCCUGUCAGUGGGGAAGAAACGUAUGGGUAGUAACUGACUCAUACCUGACGGUACCCACAGAGGAAGUCCCGGCUAACUCCGUG